Octodon degus (degu) is the source of this 102-nucleotide small nucleolar RNA. RefSeq annotates it as small nucleolar RNA U13. The transcript has a single exon. The record is from RefSeq and is a predicted model, not a curated record. Lineage: Eukaryota; Metazoa; Chordata; Mammalia; Rodentia; Octodontidae.
ACCCUUCAGGUCAUGAGCACGAUGAUUGGGGGUUCAUGCGGUAGGAAUGAGGUGUUUCUCCUUCAGUCCUUGUUAUAAUGUGGGAAUAUUACCUGUCUGACC